Molecule: ribosomal RNA, 253 nt
Filed under: uncultured bacterium
Lineage: Bacteria
Description: partial 16S ribosomal RNA
Rfam family: Bacterial small subunit ribosomal RNA
Source: RNAcentral
UACGUAGGUGGCAAGCGUUGUCCGGAAUUAUUGGGCGUAAAGCGCGCGCAGGCGGUCCUUUAAGUCUGAUGUGAAAGCCCACGGCUCAACCGUGGAGGGUCAUUGGAAACUGGGGGACUUGAGUGCAGAAGAGGAAAGCGGAAUUCCACGUGUAGCGGUGAAAUGCGUAGAGAUGUGGAGGAACACCAGUGGCGAAGGCGGCUUUCUGGGACGGUACUGACGCUGAGACGCGAAAGCGUGGGGAGCGAACAGG